AGUUUGACUCUGAGAAAAGGACAUUUGCUGGGACAAGUUAGUUACUCAUGAUAGCUGGUCAUGGAGAAAAUUCCCCAAUACUUUGAGGGUUCUGUGAGGGGAAAUGGGAGGACUUGGGACUAGCAGCCAUCGGGGACUUGCAGUUGUCAUUCACAGAGCUGGGCCUGCUGCAGCUUAUCAGGGGUGAGUGGAUUGGAGAAAGAGCACAUCUGGCCACAAGGUUCUUUGUCAUUCUCGAGUAGAGAGUCAGGUUUCUUCUAGAAUGAAACGUAAAAAAAUCCGUAAAUGUUUUAUUUCUUCUCUCUUGAUGCUAAUCCUUUCCCCCAUUAGGCUCGUUGACAAGCUUCUGUGGCUUCCUCUUUGAAACCUUUGCCCAUGACCUUUAGGUUCUUUCCUCCUUCAAGCAGACUCUCUUCUUGUCACAGAAUUCCCACCCUCAAAGUUGUUUCACUUCAGGCUAAUUUUUUGAUCUCACCUGUGCCUCUCAACUUCCGAAUUCUUUUCUUGUACAUUCCUCUUUCAUUAAAACAUUUCCAAUUUCUGCCAGUGAGAAGAGGGGAUGUCCUGGCAGCGUGGAGUGGCAUUCGCCCGCUUGUUACCGAUCCCAAGUCUGCAAACACUCAGUCCAUCUCUCGAAAUCAUGUUGUGGAAGUCAGCGACAGUGGCCUCAUCACAAUAGCAGGUACGGGGGAACUGACUCAUGUUUGGACUGUUUUUUUCCACUCUAAUGAACAAGUGUUUUGUCCUAUUUUUUACUAAGAGGGCACUUUUGUAUUAUUGGUAAAUGGUCAAUUAUAAUAAAAAUUCAGAAUGCCAACU
RNAcentral lists this long non-coding RNA (819 nucleotides) under Rattus norvegicus (Norway rat). RNAcentral describes it as "long non-coding RNA NONRATT018150". The record is from RNAcentral. Lineage: Eukaryota; Metazoa; Chordata; Mammalia; Rodentia; Muridae.